Molecule: transfer RNA, 74 nt
Filed under: Candidatus Berkelbacteria bacterium
Lineage: Bacteria; Candidatus Berkelbacteria
Description: tRNA-Gln
Rfam family: tRNA
About the family: Transfer RNA (tRNA) molecules are approximately 80 nucleotides in length.
Source: RNAcentral
UGCGGGGUCGUCUAAUGGUAGGACAGCGGACUCUGGAUCCGUUAGUCUAGGUUCGAAUCCUAGCCCCGCAGCCA